UCAACGUCUCCUUGGUGCGGGACCCGC
RNAcentral lists this non-coding RNA (27 nucleotides) under Homo sapiens (human). The record is from RNAcentral. Lineage: Eukaryota; Metazoa; Chordata; Mammalia; Primates; Hominidae.